This 497-nucleotide ribosomal RNA is filed under the name uncultured bacterium. RNAcentral describes it as "partial 16S ribosomal RNA". It matches the Rfam family "Bacterial small subunit ribosomal RNA", at positions 28 to 507 of the family's 1533-position model. The record is from RNAcentral.
GAUGAACGCUGGCGGCGUGCCUAAUACAUGCAAGUCGAGCGAACAGACGAGGAGCUUGCUCCUCUGACGUUAGCCGCGGACGGGUGAGUAACACGUGGAUAACCUACCUAUAAGACUGGGAUAACUUCGGGAAACCGGAGCUAAUACCGGAUAAUAUAUUGAACCGCAUGGUUCAAUAGUGAAAGACGGUUUUGCUGUCACUUAUAGCUGGAUCCGCGCCGCAUUAGCUAGUUGGUAAGGUAACGGCUUACCAAGGCAACGAUGCGUAGCCGAACUGAGAGGGGGAUCGGCCACACUGGAACUGAGACACGGUCCAGACUCCUACGGGAGGCAGCAGUAGGGAAUCUUCCGCAAUGGGCGAAAGCCUGACGGAGCAACGCCGCGUGAGUGAUGAAGGUCUUCGGAUCGUAAAACUCUGUUAUUAGGGAAGAACAAAUGUGUAAGUAACUAUGCACGUCUUGACGGUACCUAAUCAGAAAGCCACGGCUAACUACGUG